AUUUAGACACCCUCUUAGGCCAGAGAAUUCCUCAUGGGCGCCAAACUCUUUUCCUAUAUUUUCCUUUCACGUGGCUUCUUAGACACGCUUUUCAUCGUAUCAUUCAAAACCCUAAUUAUCAUAUAGCUGAGGUGAUUCUCUAGCGAUUUCAUACAUCUGCGAUUUUAUUCGAAACACUUAAUCUCUAGUAGGGCGAUUCUCAUCAAAGUGAUUAUUGGAAACCCUAAAUUGUAACCAGUGGAAUUGAAUCCAGCCGUCCAUUGAGAAACCCUAUAAUCUUCAGAAAAGUUUGAAGCUUGAGAGAGAGAGAGAUUAAGAUCCGGAUCCAACAGAAAUUAGGUUUAGGGUUCUGAUAAUGGAGGACUGAAUCAAGAAGAAAAUGUGUAGCAGCAAUUCAUGGAGAUAACUCAAGGCCAUGCUUCAAAAAAACUGGCUUCUCAAAAUUCGUCAUCUGUACAUCACUCUCGCUGAGGGUAAACAACCUUAUACUAAUUUGCUGAAGAGAAAUGCUCAUGAGGCGAAAGAUGUGUUGGCGCACCCGCUGCCGCAUAAGCGUAGCGUUAGUCUACGUGACUCAGAUCCAUAUUAGGUAUUAAUAUCUGAUGAUAAGCAACUUGAAAUGAAUAGUGAUUGCCACACGUUAUCACCAGAUCCAUGUGGCUCCUCUUUUUAGAAACCAGACAUUAACCAAAUUUACACAACUUGAAGAGUAGAACAGUUUGAGAGAGAGAAGUGAAGCUAGAAUAGAGAGAGGACACGAUGAGAGAAAGAAAAGGACACGAUGAGAAAGAGAGAGAGAGAGAGAGAUCGGGAUCCUUUCCUGGCAUCGAUCGGCCAUAACUUCUUCUGGCCGUUUGCUAGAGUUAUUGCGGUACAAGUCGAAGGACAUUGAGCAGAAGAGGGCUGAGGCAAACAAGGUGGUUUCACGGCAGCGGUUUAGUGUUUUGAUUGGCGUCCAACAGCUGAUUGGCUCCUAUAUAUGUUUAUUCCGAGUAGAUUGGUGGUGAUAGAAAUGAGAUAUCGGCAAUCAAUCCUUCCUUCGCAUAACUGUUUUUUGAAAUCUGAAUGUAUGCUACAUCAUCUGUUGUUUUAUGGCGAUCAAGGUGUUAAAUGUACAACUGUAAGUUAACCAACUACAAAAAAACUGUGUGUUUGUCUAAUUUGUGUGAAUUAUCGGGUUCUUUGAUAUGAAAGUAAGUGUGUGUAUUACAGGGCCGUCUCCGAAAAUGAUAAAAAAGUUUUGGGCCCCGUGCGAGACAAAAACUUUGGGCCUCUUUCCUAUAAUAUAAACCCAUUAAUCAUAUAUAAAAAAACCCACAAUACGAUGAUAAUUAUUGUAAAAUAAACAAAACAAAAGUAGUGUAGCAAAAUGAACAAAAUUACUUACUUAAGCGAAUCGUGAGCCUUUUUUAGCAUUUUCAAAAUAAAGCUCUAGAUAAAGUAUUUAUAUAAUUCAUGCCAUUUCUUCUCUAUAUUUCAUGUAUCAUAGUUAUCCAUGUUCAUAGAGUGAAUGCUAGUAUCGAUUAAAAACAAUAAAUCCUAUUUUUAUGUUACAAAUAAAUUAAUACACAUAACAUUAGUUUCAAUACUCUCUGGAUAAGCAAAAAUAACUAACACUUGAAUCCUUAAAUCAAAAAGAACUGUAAUAUGUUUAAACAUAUUCAAACUAAUUUGGCAACACGAAUCUUUUCAUACAAAAAAGGAUAAAUCGAGCAAGAUAUUGAGUUCUUUUAAGUUUAUAUUGUAGAUGGUUAAAUGAGAAAUUAGAAACCUACAAAUUUAAACAAGAAAACAUGUAAAGUUUAUUAUGUAAAUGGUUAAAUGAGAAGGAAAAAAAUCGGAGAAGUUUACAAAUUUAUUGAGGCCCAAAUUUAAAUAUGGCUAUAUGGGGUCUUUCCCCUUGUUUUAUAAUCAGUAUCCUUGAGGCCUAAGAAAAAACAUAACAUUAGAUAAAGAAAAUAAGUACAGAAAAGUGACCAGCCUGAGAUUCGAACCCGGGAUGGCCAAUUCAACAGAAAGAAGACGCAUCCACUGAACCACUAGAUGAACUUUUUAAUACUUUUCUACACUAAUUGUAUAUAUAUUUAUAUAUUUUAAAUAAUUUUGGGCCUCUAGAUAUUUUGGGCCCUGUGCGGUGGCACCUCCCGCACACUGUAUUAUGAUGUGGAAUUCCGAUAGGGAAAGCUGUAGUUCGCAUCAGGACUCAGUUUCAAUGGUAUUUGUUGUGGUCAACUUUGAUGCUAUGGGUAGACAGUUUGGAUUCUCGAAAGUAAGCUACUACACAACUAUUUUAUUACCUAAGAUCCCUUUUGAGGAUGCCCACAUUCCGGGUUGUGAUGACACUUGGUGGAUUUCUUGGGCUAGCAGUUAGCUUCAAUUCUACGCGGUUUCUUCAUCAAACAGGGGCAAGUACAUAAA
Long non-coding RNA from Helianthus annuus (common sunflower), 2418 nucleotides. RefSeq lists it as uncharacterized. NCBI's taxonomy places the organism in Eukaryota, Viridiplantae, Streptophyta, Magnoliopsida, Asterales, Asteraceae. The record is from RefSeq and is a predicted model, not a curated record. The transcript has 8 exons.